Molecule: ribosomal RNA, 301 nt
Filed under: uncultured bacterium
Lineage: Bacteria
Description: partial 16S ribosomal RNA
Rfam family: Bacterial small subunit ribosomal RNA
Source: RNAcentral
CAGCAGCCACGGUAAUACGGAGGGGGCUAGCGUUGUUCGGAAUUACUGGGCGUAAAGCGCACGUAGGCGGCUUGGUAAGUUAGAGGUGAAAGCCCGGAGCUCAACUCCGGAAUUGCCUUUAAGACUGCCGAGCUAGUAGGUGAGAGAGGUAAGUGGAAUUCCGAGUGUAGGGGUGAAAUGCGUAGAUAUAGGAAGGAACACCAGUGGCGAAGGCGACCACCUGGACUAAUACUGACACUGAGGUGCGAAAGCGUGGGGAGCAAACAGGAUUAGAUACCCCAGUAGUCCCUGUCUCUUAUAC